UGGGGAAUUGUUCGCAAUGGGCGCAAGCCUGACGACGCAACGCCGCGUGGAGGAUGAAGAUCUUCGGGUCGUAAACUCCUGUCGAGCGGGACGAACACUUUUCGGGUGAACAGCCCGGGGAGCUGACGGUACCGCUAACGGAAGCCCCGGCUAACUCCGUACCAGCAGCCGCGGUAAUACGGGGGGGGCAAGCGUUGUUCGGAAUUACUGGGCGUAAAGGGCCCGUAGGCGGCCGACUAAGUCGGAUGUGAAAUCCCCAGGCUCAACGUGGGAACUGCAUCCGAUACUGGACGGCUUGAAUCCGGGAGAGGGAUGCAGAAUUCCAGGUGUAGCGGUGAAAUGCGUAGAUAUCUGGAGGAAUACCGGUGGCGAAGGCGGCAUCCUGGACCGGCAUUGACGCUGAACGGCGAAAGCUAGGGGAGCAAA
This 426-nucleotide ribosomal RNA is filed under the name uncultured bacterium. RNAcentral's name for it is "bacterial SSU rRNA". It matches the Rfam family "Bacterial small subunit ribosomal RNA", at positions 355 to 772 of the family's 1533-position model. The record is from RNAcentral.